RNAcentral lists this ribosomal RNA (405 nucleotides) under uncultured bacterium. RNAcentral describes it as "bacterial SSU rRNA". It matches the Rfam family "Bacterial small subunit ribosomal RNA", at positions 354 to 776 of the family's 1533-position model. The record is from RNAcentral.
GUGGGGAAUAUUGCACAAUGGGGGGAACCCUGAUGCAGCGACGCCGCGUGAGCGAAGAAGUAUUUCGGUAUGUAAAGCUCUGUCAGCAGGGAAGAAGAUGACGGUACCUGACCAAGAAGCUCCGGCUAAAUACGUGCCAGCAGCCGCGGUAAUACGUAUGGAGCAAGCGUUAUCCGGAUUUACUGGGUGUAAAGGGAGCGCAGGCGGUGCGGCAAGUCUGGUGUGAAAUUCCGGGGCCCAACCCCGGGACUGCAUUGGAAACUGUCGCGCUGGAGUGUCGGAGGGGCAGGCGGAAUUCCUAGUGUAGCGGUGAAAUGCGUAGAUAUUAGGAGGAACACCGGUGGCGAAGGCGGCCUGCUGGACGACAACUGACGCUGAGGCUCGAAAGCGUGGGGAGCAAACAGG